CAGGUUUACCUGUGUGACUGCGUACCUUUUGUAUAAUGGGUCAGCGACUUAUAUUCUGUAGCAAGGUUAACCGAAUAGGGGAGCCGGAGGGAAACCGAGUCUUAAUUGGGCGUUAAGUUGCAGGGUAUAGACCCGAAACCCGGUGAUCUAGCCAUGGGCAGGUUGAAGGUUGGGUAACACUAACUGGAGGACCGAACCGACUAAUGUUGAAAAAUUAGCGGAUGACCUGUGGCUGGGGGUGAAAGGCCAAUCAAACCGGGAGAUAGCUGGUUCUCCCCGAAAGCUAUUUAGGUAGCGCCUCGUGAAUUCAUCUCCGGGGGUAGAGCACUGUUUCGGCUAGGGGGCCAUCCCGGCUUACCAACCCGAUGCAAACUGCGAAUACCGGAGAAUGUUAUCACGGGAGACACACGGCGGGUGCUAACGUCCGUCGUGAAGAGGGAAACAACCCAGACCGCCAGCUAAGGUCCCAAAGUCAUGGUUAAGUGGGAAACGAUGUGGGAAGGCCCAGACAGCCAGGAUGUUGGCUUAGAAGCAGCCAUCAUUUAAAGAAAGCGUAAUAGCUCACUGGUCGAGUCGGCCUGCGCGGAAGAUGUAACGGGGCUAAACCAUGCACCGAAGCUGCGGCAGCGAACGUAUCACUUAAAGCGAUUCAGCGGGUUACGAUUGACGGAGCGAAGCGACGUCAAAGCGUAUACAAAGUCGAGUCGGUUUAAGGAUACGUUCGUUGGGUAGGGGAGCGUUCUGUAAGCCUGUGAAGGUGUGUCGUGAGGCAUGCUGGAGGUAUCAGAAGUGCGAAUGCUGACAUAAGUAACGAUAAAGCGGGUGAAAAGCCCGCUCGCCGGAAGACCAAGGGUUCCUGUCCAACGUUAAUCGGGGCAGGGUGAGUCGACCCCUAAGGCGAGGCCGAAAGGCGUAGUCGAUGGGAAACGGGUUAAUAUUCCCGUACUUGGUGUUACUGCGAAGGGGGGACGGAGAAGGCUAUGUUGGCCGGGCGACGGUUGUCCCGGUUUAAGCGUGUAGGUGUGUGUUCCAGGUAAAUCCGGUUCACUUUAACACUGAGGCGUGAUGACGAGGCACUACGGUGCUGAAGCAACAAAUGCCCUGCUUCCAGGAAAAGCCUCUAAGCAUCAGGUAACAUCAAAUCGUACCCCAAACCGACACAGGUGGUCAGGUAGAGAAUACCAAGGCGCUUGAGAGAACUCGGGUGAAGGAACUAGGCAAAAUGGUGCCGUAACUUCGGGAGAAGGCACGCUGACAUGUAGGUGAAGUGAUUUACUCAUGGAGCUGAAGUCAGUCGAAGAUACCAGCUGGCUGCAACUGUUUAUUAAAAACACAGCACUGUGCAAACACGAAAGUGGACGUAUACGGUGUGACGCCUGCCCGGUGCCGGAAGGUUAAUUGAUGGGGUCAGCGCAAGCGAAGCUCCUGAUCGAAGCCCCGGUAAACGGCGGCCGUAACUAUAACGGUCCUAAGGUAGCGAAAUUCCUUGUCGGGUAAGUUCCGACCUGCACGAAUGGCGUAAUGAUGGCCAGGCUGUCUCCACCCGAGACUCAGUGAAAUUGAACUCGCUGUGAAGAUGCAGUGUACCCGCGGCAAGACGGAAAGACCCCGUGAACCUUUACUAUAGCUUGACACUGAACAUUGAGCCUUGAUGUGUAG
This 1659-nucleotide ribosomal RNA is filed under the name Salmonella enterica subsp. enterica serovar Infantis. RNAcentral's name for it is "partial 23S ribosomal RNA". It matches the Rfam family "Bacterial large subunit ribosomal RNA", at positions 580 to 2141 of the family's 2925-position model. Lineage: Bacteria; Pseudomonadati; Pseudomonadota; Gammaproteobacteria; Enterobacterales; Enterobacteriaceae. The record is from RNAcentral.